GCUGGGCAUGGUGGCGCAUGCCUGUAAUCCCAGCUACUCAGGAGGCUGAGGCUGGAGAAUCACUUGAGCCCAGGAGACGGAGGUUGUGGUGAGCAGAGAUCACGUCAUUGCACUCCAGCCUGGGCGAUAGAGUGAAAUUCCAUCUCUA
RNAcentral lists this non-coding RNA (148 nucleotides) under Gorilla gorilla gorilla (western lowland gorilla). Lineage: Eukaryota; Metazoa; Chordata; Mammalia; Primates; Hominidae. The record is from Rfam by way of RNAcentral.